Molecule: long non-coding RNA, 199 nt
Filed under: Elaeis guineensis (African oil palm)
Lineage: Eukaryota; Viridiplantae; Streptophyta; Magnoliopsida; Arecales; Arecaceae
Description: long non-coding RNA (EGUI_LNC039088)
Source: RNAcentral
AUAUAAACAAUAAUAGGAUUGACUAGUUAAUCAAGGAACAUGUCCUUGAGAUAGAUGAUUGUGAAUUAUUGCCAACCUGCGAAUCCUGUCUACUUGAUAAAAUUACUAAGUCACCUUUUAAGAGAAAAGGUGAAAGAGCCAGUGAUGUCCUAGAUCUAAUACAUACUGAUAUAUACGGAUCUAUGAACAUAAGUGCCAG